This 434-nucleotide ribosomal RNA is filed under the name Tibetoradix kozlovi. RNAcentral describes it as "partial large subunit ribosomal RNA". Lineage: Eukaryota; Metazoa; Mollusca; Gastropoda; Lymnaeidae. The record is from RNAcentral.
AGCUUAAAGAAUAUAUUUUAAGUAAAUUCUGCCCAGCGUAAACUUAUUAGCGGCCGCAGUACCUUGACUGUGCUAAGGUAGCAUAAUCAAUUGGCUUUUAAUUGAAGUCUGGAAUGAAAGGUCAAAUAAAGAAUUAACUGUCUCUAUUUAAUUUUUUUGAAUUUAUUUAUUAAGUGAAAAUACUUAAGUACAGAAAAAAGACGAGAAGACCCUUAGAAUUUUAAUUAAUAUGUACGUUGUUUACAAUUUAUUUUUGUUGGGGCGACAAUGAAACAAUUAAACUUUCAAUUUUUUUCAAGACAUUUUUUUUGUAAGAUUAAAUUACCUUAGGGAUAACAGCAUAAUGAAUUAUUUAGCUUGUGACCUCGAUGUUGGACUAGGAACUAAAAGACUAACCGUCACAAUAGACUGUUCUGUUCGAACAAAAAUUUCCU